GACGAACGCUGGCGGCGUGCCUAAUACAUGCAAGUCGAACGAAGCUUUUUUAACUGGUGCUUGCACCGACUUAAACAACUGAGUGGCGAACGGGUGAGUAACACGUGGGUAACCUGCCCCAAAGCGGGGGAUAACAUUUGGAAACAGAUGCUAAUACCGCAUAACCACAGAAACCACAUGGUUUCUGUGUCAAAGAUGGUUUCGGCUAUCACUUUGGGAUGGACCCGCGGCGUAUUAGCUAGUUGGUAAGGUGACGGCUUACCAAGGCAAUGAGACAUAGCCGAACUGAGAGGUGGAUCGGCAACAAUGGGACUGAGACACGGCCCAUACUCCUACGGGAGGCAGCAGUAGGGAAUCUGCCACAAUGGGCGCAAGCCUGAUGGAGCAACACCGCGUGAGUGAAGAAGGGUUUCGGCUCGUAAAACUCUGUUGUUAAAGAAGAACGUAUCUAAGAGUAACUGCUUAGGUAGUGACGGUAUUUAACCAGAAAGCCACGGCUAACUACGUGCCAGCAGCCGCCGUAA
RNAcentral lists this ribosomal RNA (524 nucleotides) under uncultured bacterium. RNAcentral describes it as "partial 16S ribosomal RNA". It matches the Rfam family "Bacterial small subunit ribosomal RNA", at positions 28 to 523 of the family's 1533-position model. The record is from RNAcentral.